RNAcentral lists this ribosomal RNA (790 nucleotides) under uncultured bacterium. RNAcentral describes it as "bacterial SSU rRNA". It matches the Rfam family "Bacterial small subunit ribosomal RNA", at positions 44 to 835 of the family's 1533-position model. The record is from RNAcentral.
GUGCUUACACAUGCAGUCGAGCGAGUCCAUCCGGUGGCAACACAGGUUGAAAGACCGAGCGGCGAACGGGUGAAGUAACACGUGAGCAACCUGUCCCGAAGACCGGGAUAACACCGGGAAACCGGGUGCUAAUGCCGGAUGUCCCCACCGGACCGAUGAUCUGGUGAGGAAAUGGAUUCCGUUCGGGAGGGGCUCGCGGGCUAUCAGCUUGUUGGUGGGGUAACGGCUCACCCAAGGCGACGACGGUAAGCUUAGUCUGAGAGGACGACCAGCCACACUGGGACUGAGACACGGCCCAGACUCCUACGGGAGGCAGCAGUGGGGAAUCUUGCGCAAUGGGCGAAAGCCUGACGCAGCAACGCCGCGUGGGGGAUGAAGGCUCUCGGGUUGUAAACCCCUUUCAGCAGGGACGAAAUUGACGGUACCUGCAGAAGAAGCCCCGGCCAACUACGUGCCAGCAGCCGCGGUAAUACGUAGGGGGCGAGCGUUGUCCGGAUUUAUUGGGCGUAAAGAGCUCGUAGGCGGCUUGGCAAGUCGGGUGUGAAAACUCCAGGCUCAACCUGGAGACGCCACUCGAUACUGCCAUGGCUUGAGUCCGGUAGGGGACCACGGAAUUCCUGGUGUACGGUGAAAUGCGCAAUAUCAGAGGAACACCGGUGGCGAAGCGGUGGUCUGGGGCCGGGCACUGACGCUUGGAGGAGCGAAAAGCGUGGGGAGCAAAACCAGGGAUUAAUACCCUGGGUUAGUCCAACGCCGUAAAACGUUGGGCCACUAAGGUGUGGGAACCUUA